CAAAUCGAUCCACCCUUCUCUCCCCGCCGCGGCGCAACUCCUCUGGCGGCCGGCGAGCGAGCAGAGAUGAACGCCGCUGCUCCCGCCUCCCCUCUCACCUUCUUACUCUUCCUCAAUCCAAUCUGCCGGCGGGGAAUUUCGGAUUCCAGCGCGAAGGGGCGCAUCGGUGAUCCUUCGGCGCGCGGCUGCGAUAGAGCUCGUCCCUCCUCUUCCACGGCCACCAAUGGCGCAGGUCCCUUUCCUCCUCGAACGCUCGCUCAGGGUGCUCCGUUCCUCAGCCGGUGAACCCCCGUCUCUUCCACGGCAGCGGCACAGGCCGCAUCUUGAGCCUCCCUUCUCUUCCACGACAAGCGGCACAAGCAACAUGUUUUCUAGGGUUUUGUUUUCUUUGUUUUUUUUUUUAAAUUAAUUAGUCUGGUAGAUUUGGAGAGAAGGGAAUUGCAGAUUUGGAAAGGAUGAACAUCCAAAUUAAGCAGAUUUGAUUUGUCUUUCUGUUCUGAACAUGGCACUGAACUUCAGAAAUUUACCUUUCUGUUCUGAACUGCAGAUUUGUCUCAUUGCCAACAUAUCUGCAUAAGCUACAUCCAAAUUAAGCAGUACCAGUCCCCAAAAAAAUUACUUGGCCAGUGAAAGAAGCCAGUAUUCUGCGUUUCUGUUCGAUUUACUACAGGAGGAUUUGGAAGGAGAGAUGGAUGUUCUCUUGGAUUCAAGCAAUGAUGGGACGAUUGCUCUUUCAACAUAUUCUAUUAGCAAGGAUGGCAAGUGAAAGUGGGAGCGACUGGAUCACUAUUCCUAUCAUGCAUUGUAGACAUGAUGCAUUGAACAUAUGUCUGACAAUUGUCCUUGCAGGAUUCGAUUCGGUACAAGACCAUCACCGAGGCAGACGUGACAAGGGGUUCAUCGUGCCAGGCACCUCGGUGCUGCUUCGCUUCGGUGCGACGGCGGCAGCGGCUACAGAAACAGCUAUGGUGAGCUCCUCUCCUCACCUCCAGUGGUUGCUCUGAGCUCGACUUGGCCAUUGUGCCAUGGCUAUGUCUGGUUAGGCUGCUACAGGUACGCCCUUGCAUAAUGAUGGUGCUACUCUUUGUUUGUUUGUUCGUUUCUCUGCCUUGCUGCCUGCCUGAUAGAAACCUGCUGAAUAUAUGUCCUUGAGCAGCAACUGAUAGAAUAUAUAUAGGUCAUGUUCAUGUUGAUUCCCAUCCCACUCAAAGUCUGAAACACUUCUUCGCACUCAACAACUAGGCAGCACACCUGAAUAUAUAUAUGCACAUAUGUAUGUAGUUUCCCACUACACACAUGGAGCAGUCUUGUUAGUUUCGGGAUGUAGUAUCACCACUUAAUUUGUUCCCUGCUUGCCUCCAUGAAAUUCGGACUGCAUAUAUGUGGUCUAUGUACCAUCCAUGAUAUGCACUCGCAUCCUCAACUCAUGUUGGUACUGUUUUAUUUCCAAGGAUGCCUUCCUACUCCUGCUAGUUUAGUUGUCGUGUGGCCGUGUUUCCAGGAUGAUGAAAUUCCGAAUAUCUGGUUGUGGCGUGCUGCUCUCUUUUGACACUAAUUUUAUAUCACUACAAUUGUUCAUACAACAUGGAGGGCCGGUACGGAUGCCAUGGAUGCUGCAAGGUUGCUUGUCCUAGUAUGUCUUGCUUGCCCAUUUAGUAUGUAUAUCACUUCAUUCAAUUAAGAAAGGCAUUUCCGACAGCGUUAUGGUAAGAAGUCGUCUCAAGAAGAGUGGCGCUAGAAUAACCAUAGAGGUCAAUAGAAGGAAGCGGGCGAGCACAGAAGCUAUAGGUUGAGUUGGAGGCGGUGCGUUACCAACAGAAUUAGUCAUGGUAUUCGAGGGAGAUGGCGCAUUAGAAGAAUCCACAACACGUUGACGACCAAUGCGGUAAGAAGAGGAUGAGGGGGAAUCAAAGGGAAGCCUCAAGGGACGAGAGAGGUUUGAGGCAGUCUCAGGUAAUGAACAAGGUGAGGAAGCCACGGGUGACGAUGGCAUGGGAUCUCAACACUAGUACAGGAAGACACGGUGGGAGGGGUGGUGUGAUAGGUAUAUCUGGAGAAGUGAGGAAAUAAAUAUCGUCAAUGGGAGGAUGGACGUGGAUAGAAAGGAUGAGACUCAUCAACUCACGAGCUGCCUCAAGAAAGUGAUCAUGCUUCGCUCAUCAACACCAGUUUGAGCAUGAGCACCAGGAGAGUCGAGCUUUUCGUAUUAAGCACUGGGAGCAGAGAAAUCCUAGGGUUGCUUUGUCCUCAGUCUUAGUAAUUAGUGUACCCCUUGUAUUUGCUUCUCCUGAUGGUUGGUCAAUUGAGCAAGUGUGCCUUGCUCAGCAAGGAAUCCGCACAUCAUAUGAGAGAAAUACUCAUGAGUAGAAUCUUCACCGAAGACACUGAUAGGAGUGGAAAACUGGGUAUGAACCAUGGCGAUAAACUUCUUACAGAUAGAUAAGAUCCCAUUACAAGAAGAUAUAAAAUAUAUCCAUGUAUGUCGAGAGUAAUCAUCUAUAAAGAUAAUAUAGUAGCGAUGGCCUCCUAUCGAGGCAAAGGAAGCUAGAACCCGAACAUUAGAGUGAACAAGAUCGAAAGGAUGUUGAUACACCGUCUCGCUAUGAGGAUGAAGUAACUGAACCUGUUUACCAAGCUGACAAACUUGACAGUUUAAAGACACAACACCCAAGACAGAUCCAAGAAAACCACGUCAAACUAAAGAUGAGGGACGAGAGCCAUACAAGUGACCAUCGGUGUUGCAACAUAGAGACGGUAGUCGAGGAAACAGAGGCGAAGAGCCGAAGAGACUAGCGGCGGUGUCAGCAUGGCAGGUGAAGUCAGACAAGCUCCCGGAGGUCCUGGGAGUCACUACGCCGAGGGCCAACACAAAGUAGGGAACCCGUGUGGCGAUCCUAAUCUAACCACCUAAAAUGAGCAAACGAAGGAACAUGACAAGACAAAGUGCUAAUAGUGCCUCGACUAUCGAAUGGGAUGGAAAUAUCAUCAGCAGUAAGAACAUGAACAUGAGAAUCUAUAGGUUUGAAUGGAGGACAAACCGGAAUAAUCAUGAGUCAUAUGAAAAGACGCUCCGGUAUGAAGGAUCCAUAGAAAGAUGUGCUUCUAGCCUAGAAAUGAGUUAAGUGCUCAACCUCGUGGUAGCGAACUUAUAUGAUACUUUUUGGACAUUUCUAAUAAUAGCAUUUUGGCCUGUGGAAUAGUGUCUUAUAGAAUACCACGAGGGAAAACUGGGACGAGCAACUCAGCAGGGUUCCUAUUCUCAAGUUAAAGUGAAGAAAAGACAGAGGAUGGCAAGGGGGUGCUGCUCCUGACAGUGUUUUCAUUGCUUCCACGUACCUCUCUUGCAUUUUCCAUUUCUUGCCGACCCGACUUGGCAUCCUUCCCCUGUUUGUGGGUUGUGUGUCACGGACUUGAUUCCGCAUUCCACGUUCCCUUGCUGGGCGUCCCUGGCCUUGGCGACAGGUAGCGUCGUGCUCCUGGGUGCUUUGCGUCCUCGCGUAAGACGGAGACGGUGCCAACUGCCGUGCUCCGCCAGUGGUGGUGCCUGAGCUUGUGGCUAUUGGGACAACCUUCAUGGGAGCACGGGAUGUAGGAACAAGGCAGCACACAAAGCAACUUGCAGCCAGGUAAAGGAUUCCUUGCCGGACUGGCGUGUAGUGGAGAGUACACGGGAGGUGUGGUUAAAGGGUGAAAACGCUGUUGGGAGUGUACUGCCGAUGUCGUCAGUCUUUGGACCCAGAGCUGAGCGAAGAGGGGAUGGCGAUAAGGAAGCGGGGAAGAUGGGAAGAGGGAGCUGGAAGGAGAAAGACAUCAUCCGCCAUGACGGUGAACGGUUGUGGGCAUGGUACCUAUUGUGUUGUGUGGGUGUGUUUGGUUGUUAUUGGCAAGGCACUCUCCUAUGUGUGUUGUCGUCAUGUAGUCCGGGAUCCUUUGUGUGGCUCAUUGGUGGUGAAAGCCCUGUACUUACUAUGGUUGGCGUCGAUAACGAUGGCGAUCUUGCCCGUUGUUUCCUUCUUGAAGGCCUCGUUGUGGUGCUACGUCCCUCGCCGUCGUGAUUGUCCAGUUGGCAAGGUUGAUUUGUAGUCAGGCUUUAUGGAUGUUAGAGCGGCGACUUUAGACGGUGGUUGUAUGUCGAGGCAGCGACAUUGGUUACAGGUUAAUGGGUAGGUCAGUGGAUCUACAUUGCAUGGGUGGCGUCUAUAUGCUACGAGGGUAGCGAGUUCAUCGGCACGGCCAAAGUGAUCUGUGGGUUUGGUCUUGGUGGCGUCUAUAUGCUACGAGGGUAGCGAGUUCAUCGGCACGGCCAAAGUGAUCUGUGGGUUUGGUCUUGGUGGCGUCUAUAUGCUACGAGGGUAGCGAGUUCAUAGCAUAAAGAAGGAACACGACAAGACAAAGUGCUAAGAGUGCCUUGACUAUCGAAUGGGAGGGAAGUACCAUCAGCAGUAAGAACAUGAACAUGAGAAUCUAGAGGGAUGAAUGGAGGACAAACUAGAAGAAUCACGAGUUAUAUGAAAAUACGCUCCAGUAUCAAGGAUCCAUGGAAAUAUACCCAACUGUGUAAAAAGUGGUCUAACACACUGAAGUCUCGUAAUCUCCAGCAUCGUGAGGGAUUCAACUGAAGAGGUCAACGAAGAAGCAUCAGGCGACGAGGAAUCAGAAGCAGUAAUUAGGUAUCGAAGUUGUGCAAUCUCUUGCGCGGUGAAGGACACUACUGAAAUGGUUGACGUAGAUUCACCAGAAGAGUGGCCGCCUCCACCACCUGUGUGAGCCGCUAGAGGUGUAGUUCGACAAAUACCGGUUGUAGAAGUCGAUGGAGGAGACGGCACCGCAAGCACAAAAGCACCAAGCGCGAUGAGAAGGUGCAUUUGUGAGACGUAGCUGGUGGAGUGAUGUGCAACAACGCUAUCGACGUAAGCCUUGAGGGGACGCUGUGUAGAGUGACCAUCACCGUCUGCAGAGGUCACGAGAGGUGUCACUAUGGAGCCACCACCACUGCCUGCAAAAGCCAUGGGGGUAGCAACGUCAUAGGUGAGGAACACGAAGCACCGACAGACCGAUAGACGACGCAUGUGUGAGAUGGGGUAAGCAUAGGAACACCCUAAGAAAUCAUCGAACAACAAGAGACUGUCCAAAUUGUGCCUGUUUUUUCUUCUACCGUUUUCUUUUACAGAACAAUCUUAGAGAGCUUAGAGCAUCAAAGAGCAGCGUAUAGGGCGCGCAUAGUAGGGGCAUGGUCCCCAAAGAAGCCAAUUGGCGGGAUGGGUUGCCGAGUCUAAGGUUCGGGUGCGAAAUGCUGCAUGUAGCAAAAGAGGGAGUUGGGACUGUGACCUGCAGCAACGGACGUGUCAAAGAUCGCGCCUCUUGGAGCAGUGGGACGCCGGCCUCCCGGAGAUGGUAGUGAGGCACUGACCUUCUGUACAUGGCGACGAGGCGCGGCCUCCUGAAGAUAUUGAAGAGGCACCUUGCGAUUGCGAGCGUGGCGGAAGUGGCCAGAAGGGCGAGAGAGAUGGAGGCGGAGGCACCGAGCUCUGAAGUGCAUGACGGGCGCGGCGGCCUGUGGGAAUUCACCGAGGCGGUAGAGGCCUAGAUGAAGGAGAGACGAGGAGAUGCCGACCUCUUGGAGAUGGUGGCAAGGCGCGGCUUCCUGGAGCGGUUGGCACCAACCUCCUUGGGAUGGAGGUGAGGCGUCAGCCUCCUAGAGAUGGCGAUGAGGCGUGACCUCUUGAAGAUGUUGGGGAGGUAGCCUGUUGCGAGCGUGAUGGAGGGAGAGGUACUGAGCUCAUAAGGGCACGACAGGAGUGGCGACUUGUGGGAAUUCUCCGGGACGGGAUAGGCCUGGAUGACAAAGGAGAGACAACCCCGACUUGGAGGCAGUGAAGCGAUGACAAGAAAAAUUGAUCGAGGUGUACUAGCCUGAGAAAAAAUGAUCUGGAACUUAGAUCGAGAUCGAUAGAGAGGAGCACGAGUUGUGUGUGUGAGGAAGAAAACCUAGCUCUAAUACCAUGUUAGGAAUAUGCAACUUGUAUUCCAAGGUGGCCAUAGGCUAAACACGUACAUAUGUGAUGAAGAAAGCCCCUUGUAUAAUGUGAAAAUACAAAGGGCACAUGACUAUAAUAUACUAUUACUCAUAACAUGUUGAACACCCGGGCAUUGUGUACCUUCCAUAUGUCUAAAAUGCGAGCAACAUUGUUGACUCGAGUCCACAGUGCGUCGAAGGCGGAAUGGCCGCCUGACAGCCAAUCGACCAGUUGGAAAGGGAAACGUCGCCCCCUUGGGGCAGUGCUGAUGUUGAAGAGGUGAUCACCAAUUUCUAGAUUGUCGUCAAGGAGAGCUGGUGAAUAGGUGUUGAGCUCUCUUAGGGGCACUGAAGCAGAGGGUGCAGGCGAUGUGGAUGUCUAUACCGUGGCGGUGACGAUGUCAGUAGACCAUAAACAAUACUCCAGAUAUGUGCCAACCGCGUGUGGCUGCAAUUGCAAUCCAAAGCCAAGCAUCAUUGAGUCAUUGUGGUGAAGAAGAGGACGAGGGGAAAUCACCGGAGAAGCCUAAGCUUACGAGCGAGGUGAGGUAGCCUCAGGUAACGAAUGAGGUGGGGAAGCUACAGGUGAUGACGGACUAGUGUCUACAAGAUUAGUACUAGAAGACACAGUGGGAUGGGUGGAGGAGGACAAUACAUGGGUGAUGGGUGUAUCGGGAGAUAUUGGGAAAGAAAUUUAACUCAUAAAGUAUGAGAGGGUCAUUAGGCAGCCUUGUUCUCCCAUGAAAUUAUUCAUUGAAAGCGACCCGCGGCUAUUGUAGCUAGAGAAAAAAUCGGGACGAAUCGAUCCCCACCUGGACACAAUGGGAUGGGUGGAGGAGGACAAUACAUGGGUGAUGGGUGUAUCGGGAAAAAUGAGGAAAGAAAUUUAACUCAUAAAGUAUGAGAGGGUCAUUAGGCAGCCUUGUUGCUCCCGUGAAAUUAUUCAUUGAAAGCGACCCGCGGCUAUUGUAGCUAGAGAAAAAAUUGGGACGAAUCGAUCCCCACCUGGACAUGAGCCCAGGGGCCGACUCCACUCCUCAUUGCCCUGGACCAUGACCUAACCCGGGUUUCCCCUAGGACCCUCCUUCCAUCUUGCCCCCGCCGCUUCCUCUCUUCUCCCUUGCACCGCCCAUCUCUGGCGCCUCUCCCAUGCCCUUGCCCUCAUUGUCGUGAGCUCUGCCGUUCGCUGCCCCGAGCUCUGCCCUUUUCUUCAUGCGGGGCUGCCGGUGUAGCUCCUCCUCCCACGCGGCCUCCACCGACAUUAUUUCUUCCUGAGCUCGACCUUGUCCAUGGCUGCAAGCCACCACGGACUCCUUCCGCUUCUUCCAGACGGCCAACACGUUUGUGCGCGAUUAGCUCGCAUUUUCAUGGCCUCCAACUGCACAGGUGAGUCCCAAACCGUCUCUCUUUCUCUCCCUGCUCCCUGCAUUUUGUGGAAUCAGGAGCGGAAGAAGCAGCGAGCGAGUUGGUGGCAGCUCCGGGUGGCUUCGUGUGACUGCUGCGCUGAUUGUGGCUUUGUCAGCCGGCGGCAGGGUUGCGGCCUGUAUCGUGCAGCUAAGGUGUUGAGCGACAGCUAGGGUUUUCGGUGGCGGGCAGCAAUAGAAGUUCAUCUGACCUUCGUUCCUGCAGCAUGGUUCAAAUCAAUUAAAGACCUGAGAUUCAGUUGUAGAAGCUGCAGACAACCAGCACCGGCGAGGCACAGAAGAAGUUUCCACGGUCAGGUCUACAUUGAGGCAAGGCCAUGUCAAGGACACCACGGCCAUCGAAAACGACUGCCAAUAAGGUGCAAAUAGGAUACUUUUGCUUACUGGAUACAUUAUCUUCCAAGUUAUUUCAGAGAUCUAAUAAUGCGGUUCCAAGCACUAAGAACCCAAAAAGGCUGCUUUAAACUUUAAUAUAUAAUAUAUAUUCAGGGUUUGUCUACUUGCUUCAAAAUUGGACUGAGACUUUUGCUUGCUGAUAAAAUCCUUCAAUUCGUAUAAGUUUCCCUUCAUUACAUGCUUAUUGUUCCUUCACAAAAGAAUGUUUUACAUUUCCAAAGGUUACUAAGUUAAUAGGAUGGUGGUAACCGUUGGUAAAAUUAUUGACUCGUUCCCUCUUUUCAUCUUCUCAGUAUUUCUGCUACUGUUGACCUUCCUUAUUCACAUGUUUCUUUAGUUUGUACCUUUGAACACGUGCAGGUUCCAUCCAACCUGUAUGGGAAUGAUCAUUGAGCAGGCCAAAAAGUUACAUAAUUUCCUGUGCUCGGAUUGUGCUAAAGAAAACGACACAAAGAGACCUUCAAAUUCAUAUACCAGAGUUCACCAAGUUCUGAUUCUAAAGCCAGUGAUUUAAGUCCCUUUUCUUGACUGUACAGUUUAUCAAUAUUCUGCUUGCGGAUAGCUAUAUGCCUUUAUCUUAUCUUUUUAAAUUUAGUUUCAAGAAUUUCAUUUCCAAAGCUGGUGGUUCAUGCCUUUGUUUUUUCAGUAUUCCUCGGAAAAUGUUUGGUGUUUGACUAAGCAAGUACUCAUGUGUAGUUAAAAUUUCCUGUCAUGAGGUGGUGUUCAUUACUAGGUUCAAAGUAUGCUCAGAUUAUCUUCCAAAUCAUGAUGAUGAUGGCUUUUUCUAUCAGCCUGCCCUUAGGUACACUGGAGAUGCAGUUCAAUCACCAGUUCAAACUUCUGUUGAGUAAGCUCAUUGUUAAGUUUAGACAUAUAAUUAUGUGUCUUGAAUUCUUUUUAUUUUAUAUUUUUAUAUGAAAUAAAUCAUCUGUAGCAUACUUGGUUUCCCAUAUUGUUUUUAAUUAUAGAUUUAGGCUGCGUUCGGUUUGUAGGAUUUUCGCAGGAAUCUAGAAGGAAUACUGUUCAUGGAGGUUUAUUUUCCUUUGUGGUGUUCGGAAUGCAGGGAUCACCUACAGUAAUUUAAAGUAAACCGGCCCUUCCGAUGCUGAUUCCAGAGGAAAUGAAACAUCUGCCUGGAGCUCAUUUUUUCGCGGAAGACCGAGGCAAGGUGCCUUAUGCCUUGGCAGUUAGCAUAGAGACCUAGUUAAAAUAAGCUGAUGUGUCGAUGCAUGUAGGACUACAUAUUAUUGAGAUAUUAGUUCUUCU
Molecule: long non-coding RNA, 9102 nt
Organism: Triticum aestivum (bread wheat)
Lineage: Eukaryota; Viridiplantae; Streptophyta; Magnoliopsida; Poales; Poaceae
Exons: 4
Source: RefSeq, a predicted model, not a curated record